GCGGGAAUAGCUCAGUUGGUAGAGCACGACCCUUCCAAGGUCGGGGUCGCGAGUUCGAGCCUCGUUUCCCGCUCCA
RNAcentral lists this transfer RNA (76 nucleotides) under Bacteroidota bacterium. Its description in RNAcentral is "Bacteroidetes bacterium tRNA-Gly". It matches the Rfam family "tRNA". Rfam says of the family: Transfer RNA (tRNA) molecules are approximately 80 nucleotides in length. Their secondary structure includes four short double-helical elements and three loops (D, anti-codon, and T loops). Lineage: Bacteria; Pseudomonadati; Bacteroidota. RNAcentral also lists the same sequence under 1 other name. The record is from RNAcentral.